AGUGAACGCUGGCGGUAGGCCUAACACAUGCAAGUCGAACGGAAGCACAGUAAGCGCUUGCUCUUAAGGGUGGCGGGUGGCGGACGGGUGAGGCAUACAUCGGAAUCUUCUUUUUCGUGGGGGAUAUCGUAGGGACACUUACGCUAAUACCGAAUACGAUCUACCGCUGAAAUCAGGGGAUCUUCGCACCUUGCGCGAUUGAAUGAGCCGAUGUCGGAUUAGCUAGUUGGCGGGGUAAAGGCCCACCAAGGCAACGAUGCGUAGCUGGUCUGAGAGGAUGAUCAGCCACACUGGAACUGGGACACGGUCCAGACUCCUACGGGAGGCAGCAGUGGGGAAUAUUGGGCAAUGGGCGCAAGCCUGAUCCAGCCAUACCGCGUGAGUGAAGAAGGCCUUCGGGUCGUAAAGCCCUUUUGUUGGGAAAGAAAAGCAGCAGGUGAAUACACCGCUGUUCUGACGGUACCCAAAGAAAAAGCACCGGCUAACUUCGUG
This 492-nucleotide ribosomal RNA is filed under the name uncultured bacterium. Its description in RNAcentral is "partial 16S ribosomal RNA". It matches the Rfam family "Bacterial small subunit ribosomal RNA", at positions 29 to 507 of the family's 1533-position model. The record is from RNAcentral.